AGUGAACGCUGGCGGUAGGCCUAACACAUGCAAGUCGAACGGACGCACAGUAAGCGCUUGCUCUUACGGGUGGCGACUGGCGGACGGGUGAGGCAUACAUAGGCAUCCUCUUUUUCGUGGGGGAUUACGUGGGGCCAGUUCCGCUAAUACCGCAUACGUCCUACGGGUGAAAGCAAGAGAUAUUCGGGGCUUUCGCGUCUGUAUGAGCUGGUGUCGGAUUAGCUAGUUGGCGGGGUAAGGGCACACCAAGGCGACGAUACGUAGCUGGUCUGAGAGGAUGAUCAGCCACACUGGAACUGAGACACGGUCCAGACUCCUACGGGAGGCAGCAGUGGGGAAUAUUCGACAAUGGGCGCAAGCCUGACCCAGCAAUGCCGCGUGGGUGAAGAAGGCCUUCGGGUUGUAAAGCCCUGUUAUUAGGAAAGAAAAUCAGCAGAAUAAUAUCCCGCUGUUCUGACGGUACCCAAAGAAUAAGCACCGGCUAACUACGUG
This 492-nucleotide ribosomal RNA is filed under the name uncultured bacterium. RNAcentral describes it as "partial 16S ribosomal RNA". It matches the Rfam family "Bacterial small subunit ribosomal RNA", at positions 29 to 507 of the family's 1533-position model. The record is from RNAcentral.